UUAAGCGACUAAGCGUACACGGUGGAUGCCCUGGCAGUCAGAGGCGAUGAAGGACGUGCUAAUCUGCGAUAAGCGUCGGUAAGGUGAUAUGAACCGUUAUAACCGGCGAUUUCCGAAUGGGGAAACCCAGUGUGUUUCGACACACUAUCAUUAACUGAAUCCAUAGGUUAAUGAGGCGAACCGGGGGAACUGAAACAUCUAAGUACCCCGAGGAAAAGAAAUCAACCGAGAUUCCCCCAGUAGCGGCGAGCGAACGGGGAGCAGCCCAGAGCCUGAAUCAGUGUGUGUGUUAGUGGAAGCGUCUGGAAAGGCGCGCGAUACAGGGUGACAGCCCCGUACACAAAAAUGCACAUGCUGUGAGCUCGAUGAGUAGGGCGGGACACGUGGUAUCCUGUCUGAAUAUGGGGGGACCAUCCUCCAAGGCUAAAUACUCCUGACUGACCGAUAGUGAACCAGUACCGUGAGGGAAAGGCGAAAAGAACCCCGGCGAGGGGAGUGAAAAAGAACCUGAAACCGUGUACGUACAAGCAGUGGGAGCACGCUUAGGCGUGUGACUGCGUACCUUUUGUAUAAUGGGUCAGCGACUUAUAUUCUGUAGCAAGGUUAACCGAAUAGGGGAGCCGAAGGGAAACCGAGUCUUAACUGGGCGUUAAGUUGCAGGGUAUAGACCCGAAACCCGGUGAUCUAGCCAUGGGCAGGUUGAAGGUUGGGUAACACUAACUGGAGGACCGAACCGACUAAUGUUGAAAAAUUAGCGGAUGACUUGUGGCUGGGGGUGAAAGGCCAAUCAAACCGGGAGAUAGCUGGUUCUCCCCGAAAGCUAUUUAGGUAGCGCCUCGUGAAUUCAUCUCCGGGGGUAGAGCACUGUUUCGGCAAGGGGGUCAUCCCGACUUACCAACCCGAUGCAAACUGCGAAUACCGGAGAAUGUUAUCACGGGAGACACACGGCGGGUGCUAACGUCCGUCGUGAAGAGGGAAACAACCCAGACCGCCAGCUAAGGUCCCAAAGUCAUGGUUAAGUGGGAAACGAUGUGGGAAGGCCCAGACAGCCAGGAUGUUGGCUUAGAAGCAGCCAUCAUUUAAAGAAAGCGUAAUAGCUCACUGGUCGAGUCGGCCUGCGCGGAAGAUGUAACGGGGCUAAACCAUGCACCGAAGCUGCGGCAGCGACGCUGAUGCGUUGUUGGGUAGGGGAGCGUUCUGUAAGCCUGCGAAGGUGUGCUGUGAGGCAUGCUGGAGGUAUCAGAAGUGCGAAUGCUGACAUAAGUAACGAUAAAGCGGGUGAAAAGCCCGCUCGCCGGAAGACCAAGGGUUCCUGUCCAACGUUAAUCGGGGCAGGGUGAGUCGACCCCUAAGGCGAGGCCGAAAGGCGUAGUCGAUGGGAAACAGGUUAAUAUUCCUGUACUUGGUGUUACUGCGAAGGGGGGACGGAGAAGGCUAUGUUGGCCGGGCGACGGUUGUCCCGGUUUAAGCGUGUAGGCUGGUUUUCCAGGCAAAUCCGGAAAAUCAAGGCUGAGGCGUGAUGACGAGGCACUACGGUGCUGAAGCAACAAAUGCCCUGCUUCCAGGAAAAGCCUCUAAGCAUCAGGUAACAUCAAAUCGUACCCCAAACCGACACAGGUGGUCAGGUAGAGAAUACCAAGGCGCUUGAGAGAACUCGGGUGAAGGAACUAGGCAAAAUGGUGCCGUAACUUCGGGAGAAGGCACGCUGAUAUGUAGGUGAAGUCCCUCGCGGAUGGAGCUGAAAUCAGUCGAAGAUACCAGCUGGCUGCAACUGUUUAUUAAAAACACAGCACUGUGCAAACACGAAAGUGGACGUAUACGGUGUGACGCCUGCCCGGUGCCGGAAGGUUAAUUGAUGGGGUUAGCCGCAAGGCGAAGCUCUUGAUCGAAGCCCCGGUAAACGGCGGCCGUAACUAUAACGGUCCUAAGGUAGCGAAAUUCCUUGUCGGGUAAGUUCCGACCUGCACGAAUGGCGUAAUGAUGGCCAGGCUGUCUCCACCCGAGACUCAGUGAAAUUGAACUCGCUGUGAAGAUGCAGUGUACCCGCGGCAAGACGGAAAGACCCCGUGAACCUUUACUAUAGCUUGACACUGAACAUUGAGCCUUGAUGUGUAGGAUAGGUGGGAGGCUUUGAAGUGUGGACGCCAGUCUGCAUGGAGCCGACCUUGAAAUACCACCCUUUAAUGUUUGAUGUUCUAACGUUGACCCGUAAUCCGGGUUGCGGACAGUGUCUGGUGGGUAGUUUGACUGGGGCGGUCUCCUCCUAAAGAGUAACGGAGGAGCACGAAGGUUGGCUAAUCCUGGUCGGACAUCAGGAGGUUAGUGCAAUGGCAUAAGCCAGCUUGACUGCGAGCGUGACGGCGCGAGCAGGUGCGAAAGCAGGUCAUAGUGAUCCGGUGGUUCUGAAUGGAAGGGCCAUCGCUCAACGGAUAAAAGGUACUCCGGGGAUAACAGGCUGAUACCGCCCAAGAGUUCAUAUCGACGGCGGUGUUUGGCACCUCGAUGUCGGCUCAUCACAUCCUGGGGCUGAAGUAGGUCCCAAGGGUAUGGCUGUUCGCCAUUUAAAGUGGUACGCGAGCUGGGUUUAGAACGUCGUGAGACAGUUCGGUCCCUAUCUGCCGUGGGCGCUGGAGAACUGAGGGGGGCUGCUCCUAGUACGAGAGGACCGGAGUGGACGCAUCACUGGUGUUCGGGUUGUCAUGCCAAUGGCACUGCCCGGUAGCUAAAUGCGGAAGAGAUAAGUGCUGAAAGCAUCUAAGCACGAAACUUGCCCCGAGAUGAGUUCUCCCUGACUCCUUGAGAGUCCUGAAGGAACGUUGAAGACGACGACGUUGAUAGGCCGGGUGUGUAAGCGCAGCGAUGCGUUGAGCUAACCGGUACUAAUGAACCGUGAGGCUUAACCU
This 2903-nucleotide ribosomal RNA is filed under the name Escherichia coli. RNAcentral's name for it is "23S ribosomal RNA". It matches the Rfam family "Bacterial large subunit ribosomal RNA". The record is from RNAcentral. Lineage: Bacteria; Pseudomonadati; Pseudomonadota; Gammaproteobacteria; Enterobacterales; Enterobacteriaceae.